UACGGGGGGGGCAAGCGUUGUUCGGAAUUACUGGGCGUAAAGGGCUCGUAGGUGGCCAACUAAGUCAGACGUGAAAUCCCUCGGCUUAACCUGGGAACUGCGUCUGAUACUGGACGGCUUGAGUAUGGGAGAGGGAUGUAGAAUUCCAGGUGUAGCGGUGAAAUGCGUAGAUAUCUGGAGGAAUACCGGUGGCGAAGGCGGCAUCCUGGACCAUUACUGACGCUGAGGCGCGAAAGCUAGGGGAGCGAACAGG
RNAcentral lists this ribosomal RNA (253 nucleotides) under uncultured bacterium. RNAcentral's name for it is "partial 16S ribosomal RNA". It matches the Rfam family "Bacterial small subunit ribosomal RNA", at positions 524 to 776 of the family's 1533-position model. The record is from RNAcentral.